RNAcentral lists this long non-coding RNA (471 nucleotides) under Monodelphis domestica (gray short-tailed opossum). Its description in RNAcentral is "lncRNA (ENSMODG00000036015.2)". The record is from RNAcentral. Lineage: Eukaryota; Metazoa; Chordata; Mammalia; Didelphimorphia; Didelphidae.
CAUCUCCACUCUCCAGCACUCCCAGACACCCACCUUCUUCUCUGACUGUACCCUAACUUAUCAAAGCCAAGGGUCUGUUUCCCUAGAGUAGCAAAGAACACUUGAAAAAUCUAAAGGACUGAACGCUGAUUUCAGAGAUCAGGGCAGGAGGGAAGACUAAGCAAGCAAAGACUGGUAAGGAACCAGUCUAAUACAGAGACAAAAGAAGCCUCAGACUUUAGAUCCCAUCGACUUAGCGCUGGGCUCCAGCUGUUUACAUGCAUGAAACUCCUACCAUCCUCUUUUGAUUUGCAACAUGCGCUGAGCCUAGGACAAAAGAACAUCCUCUUAUUCACAAGUCGUGACUCAUGUGAAAAUUGAAACUUCAUGCUAUUUUUUAUUAAGGGCUUUGCUUUCUUUCUGUGGGUCAGAAUAAUUGGGGGAGGGAGAAGAUAAACACAGUAAAAUAAACAUGAACAAUGGAUAAAUCCA